AUAAGAUUCACUUUGGGGAGUGAAAUAUUUUCAUGUUAGACUAACUCCUGCCAUGUUUCUUUAUGCCUGUUUAGAAAAUGCUAAUUGACAGAAACUGUUCUCUUAUAAUUUAUCAACAAUUACAAUUGUUGAUAAAUUCAAAGCUGAUGUUUUUGUCAUGAAUUUGUUGCUCUACGUUCUACAUUCAGCUGCUUUAUCUUCAGAGUCUAAUAACAACCUGUUCCCAAUUAUUGGGAUACAUAAAAUAGUUUAAUGAUAUUUAGUGUUUUCAAGUAUUAAAUUAUUUUCAUGGGGUGCUAGUUCCAUUGACACACCCAUCCUGAAAAAUCAAGAAUACAUCCAUUACGUCAUUACGUGUAUUAAUAGUUUGAUACGCACAGUUUCUCUACUCGUAUAUCUACAGCUAGUUGCUCUAUAGCCUCAAGCUCUAAACACAAUUCGGUGCGAGUCUAGUCGCGUCGACGCCUACCUUGUCAGUUGUUCGUUACAAGAUGAUUGUUGAUUGAUGUCUAUUUUUGAACAUUUUAUAGCGGCAAUCCUGAACUGACUGUUAGUCUACAAGCUGUACUCCUCACUGUUGUACUUCCAAUUAAUUCAAAUUGACAAUACUUGAGUAUAAUUACAAGAUGAUUGAUGUCUCUC
Molecule: long non-coding RNA, 642 nt
Organism: Amphimedon queenslandica
Lineage: Eukaryota; Metazoa; Porifera; Demospongiae; Haplosclerida; Niphatidae
Exons: 3
Source: RefSeq, a predicted model, not a curated record